Molecule: ribosomal RNA, 585 nt
Filed under: Symbiodinium sp. Mp
Lineage: Eukaryota; Dinophyceae; Suessiales; Symbiodiniaceae
Description: partial Bacterial large subunit ribosomal RNA
Rfam family: Bacterial large subunit ribosomal RNA
Source: RNAcentral
GGUGCCCUCAGUACGCUUGGCAACCGUGCGUAGAGUGCAAUGGCAUAAGGGCGCUUGACUGUGAGACAUACAGGUCGAACAGGUACGAAAGUAGAGCAUAGUGAUCCGGUGGUUCCGCAUGGAAGGGCCAUCGCUCAAAGGAUAAAAGGUACUCCGGGGAUAACAGGCUGAUCUCCCCCAAGAGCUCAUAUCGACGGGGAGGUUUGGCACCUCGAUGUCGGCUCGUCACAUCCUGGGGCUGGAGAAGGUCCCAAGGGUUGGGCUGUUCGCCCAUUAAAGUGGCACGCGAGCUGGGUUCAGAACGUCGCAAGACAGUUCGGUCUCUAUCUGUUGUGGGCGUAGGAAUAUUGAAGAGAUCUGUCUCCAGUACGAGAGGACCGGGAUGGACGCACCUCUAGUGUACCUGUUGUGGCGCCAGCUGCAUUGCAGGGUAGCUAUGUGCGGAAUGGAUAAGCGCUGAAAGCAUCUAAGCACGAAGCCAACUCUAAGAUGAGUAUUCCAUGAGGGUCGUAGAAGAUGACUACGUUGAUAGGCUAUAGGUGGAAGUGCAGUAAUGUAUGGAGCCGAGUAGUACUAAUUACCCGA